RNAcentral lists this ribosomal RNA (219 nucleotides) under uncultured bacterium. RNAcentral's name for it is "partial 16S ribosomal RNA". It matches the Rfam family "Bacterial small subunit ribosomal RNA", at positions 1285 to 1500 of the family's 1533-position model. The record is from RNAcentral.
AUCCCAGUUCGGAUUGUAGGCUGCAACCCGCCUGCAUGAAGUUGAAGGGGUUNCUAGUAAUCGCGGAUCAGCAUGCCGCGGUGAAUACGUUCCCGGGGAUUGUACACACCGCCCGUCACACCAUGAGAGUCGGGAACACCCAAAGUCCGUAGUCUAACCGCAAGGAGGACGCGGCCUAAGGUGGGUUCGAUAAUUGAGGUGAAGUCGUAACAAGGUAUC